AUUGAACGCUGGUGGCAUGCCUUACACAUGCAAGUCGAACGGCAGCGGGCCUUCGGGUGCCGGCGAGUGGCGAACGGGUGAGUAAUGCAUCGGAACGUGCCAUUGAGUGGGGGAUAACGUAGCGAAAGUUGCGCUAAUACCGCAUAUUCUGUGAGCAGGAAAGCAGGGGGACCGCAAGGCCUUGCGCUCUUUGAGCGGCCGAUGUCAGAUUAGCUAGUUGGUGAGGUAAAGGCUUACCAAGGCGACGAUCUGUAGCGGGUCUGAGAGGAUGAUCCGCCACACUGGAACUGAGACACGGUCCAGACUCCUACGGGAGGCAGCAGUGGGGAAUUUUGGACAAUGGGGGCAACCCUGAUCCAGCCAUGCCGCGUGAGUGAAGAAGGCCU
Molecule: ribosomal RNA, 386 nt
Filed under: uncultured bacterium
Lineage: Bacteria
Description: bacterial SSU rRNA
Rfam family: Bacterial small subunit ribosomal RNA
Source: RNAcentral